RNAcentral lists this ribosomal RNA (491 nucleotides) under uncultured bacterium. RNAcentral's name for it is "partial 16S ribosomal RNA". It matches the Rfam family "Bacterial small subunit ribosomal RNA", at positions 29 to 506 of the family's 1533-position model. The record is from RNAcentral.
AGUGAACGCUGGCGGUAGGCCUAACACAUGCAAGUCGAACGGCAGCACAGUAAGAGCUUGCUCUUACGGGUGGCGAGUGGCGGACGGGUGAGGAAUACAUCGGAAUCUACUUUUUCGUGGGGGAUAACGUAGGGAAACUUACGCUAAUACCGCAUACGACCUACGGGUGAAAGCAGGGGAUCUUCGGACCUUGCGCGAUUGAAUGAGCCGAUGUCGGAUUAGCUAGUUGGCGGGGUAAAGGCCCACCAAGGCGACGAUCCGUAGCUGGUCUGAGAGGAUGAUCAGCCACACUGGAACUGAGACACGGUCCAGCCUCCUACGGGAGGCAGCAGUGGGGAAUCUUGGACAAUGGGCGCAAGCCUGAUCCAGCCAUACCGCGUGGGUGAAGAAGGCCUUCGGGUUGUAAAGCCCUUUUGUUGGGAAAGAAAAGCAGCAGGUUAAUACCCCGCUGUUCUGACGGUACCCAAAGAAUAAGCACCGGCUAACUUCGU